Molecule: non-coding RNA, 7684 nt
Organism: Podarcis lilfordi (Lilford's wall lizard)
Lineage: Eukaryota; Metazoa; Chordata; Lepidosauria; Squamata; Lacertidae
Source: the annotation of a GenBank genome assembly
GCAAAGUCAAACAGGGUCCACCCUGCCUGGCAAAGCCACCUGCCAUGUGCCUUUCCAGGGUGUUGUCUCCAGCCAGCAGGAGGCCUGCCUUUCUCCCACCAUCCCAUGUGAGUUGCUGUCUUCUGCUCCUUGUGUUUUCAAAAGCCGUAUCCAUCUGAGAAGGGCUGUUUGUUUAGAAAGCCUUGCCUCUCUCGGUCACGUGUGCCGCGCAUGUGAGGCGCAUUCCAUUUUUAGCCACAACAACUUCUUCACUAGACAGCUCUGCUGCAGUGACAUGUGCAGAGCCCGGGAGGGAGGAGACACGACACGUGUAUGAGCAGGAUCUGAGCCGUGCGGGGUGUGCUUGUGUGUGUAGUUUUCUGGCUACAGGAAAUUCCUGUUACAAAGCAAGGCAUGUUUUAUUUUGCAGGCUGGGAGAGCGAGGAGGGAUUUCUUUUUUUUAAAAAAAGAAGAAGGGCAGGCUCAAUGAACCAUAGGGUGAGGAGGAGGAGGAGGGACAAAAACAGCCACCCUAGACCAAGAGAUCUGUUUGUUUGGGUUUUUCAAAUAUGUCACUAAUCCCUUAGCAGAUAUUAAAGGGGAAGGGGAGGUGGGAGUUUGGGGAGGGGGAGCCCUCAAUGCAGAAGAAACUGCAGCACAACCAAAUGUGGGGUGUGUUUACAUCUGCAGCGGAUUUCAACGCCCUUUCUCCGUGAAAGAAGCAACAAAAUGCACCAGGAGGGGGGGAGAAGAAGGCGGGCGUUGUUCCUUGCCAUACACAGAACAUGUAAAGUGAAAUGUUCAUUUGGACCAAAGAGAUUAAAAGGCAAGGUGCAAGCUUUCAAGUCACAGAGCAGGGCUUUGCAGAUUCAAUUGGUUUUGAAGGGGAGGGGGAAAGUUUUCAGUUUCUGAGCAUAGUAUUUUAACCCUAUACCUAUGAACUGGUUUUUUCAUAUAAACAAUAAUAAUAAUAAUACUGUUAUUUAUUUUCAUGGUUCAGAAGAUAAAUUUUUGAGAAAACAAUUGUUACAACAGUAAACAACAAGUAACUUGUCCCGAUAAAAUUACAGUGCAGACUUUUAUCAUGCCAUAUGUUAAAGUUUCAUUUGAUUACUCGUAAGAGAUCACGUCACAUUUUCCCUUGAGUGCUGGGUGGAUUCCUGCCACAAUCUGAACCAUUUAUGUAUUCAAAUAAACAUUUGCCAUAUGUUAUAAAAGGAAUAUGGAUUGUGUUUGCCCUUUGCCGCUCCCACCUGGCAUGUUAGUUUCUCAGCCAAUGCUAUUGACCAUACUCUGUUAUACCAAGAAUCAAUGUUCAGCCCAUCACCGGUUUUCCAACGUCAUCUGUGGACUGUUUUAGCCUGUGUCAAAUAUAGGGGCCUGAGUCACAUCAUUCCAACCCCAGUUCUGAUUUAGCCGGGAUGGCUUUUUAUUUUAUUCGGAAGUCGUUGAUUUUGCAACCAGUGGCUGCUGGCAAGCAAAUUUUCAAACUUUUAUUCUUGGCAAUCAACAGUAUAGAAGUGCACAAGUGGCUGGCGAUACCAUUAUCUUUUGCAGAGCCAGAUUGGGCCGCUGUCAGCUUUUGACAUCCACAAGCCCAACCAAGUGCAUCUGAAAAGGCUACAUGUCCCCAGGCUUAGCAGAAGCCUGUCCUAUUGCUAUGUAACCUUUAUCUGUCUUGUCUUAUUUUCUGGACCCAAGAAGACAACUGUGCAUGCUGUACGAAGUUGGAGCAGACAAGUUGUUACAGAAUCACUACACACAGGAAAACCACACAGGAAAUAACAAGAUUAAUAAAACCACUUCAGUGUUCAUUCACACAAGCGAUAGAGGAAAAAAUGCCCUCUGGGGCUGAUAUAUGUCAGAGAAUUCCCACAUGUCAGUUCCGGCAUUCCAGUGGAACUCUAUGCUCGGAAUGCAGAAGGCAGCCUAUUCUGAUGGUUAAUUCUUUUGACCUGGAAAAGCCUUCGAAAGCUAAAAUUAUUUUUUCGUGCUUUCCCUUUCCCCAAGAGAUAGGAAACUCCACAGGCAGCCCUUUACAGGGCUCAUUCUCUGUGAGAUAUGUUUAUGGUCAUCUACAAAUGCACAUGUUGAGCAGAGGGCAGACACCCAGACAGAAAGGGCAAGUCUUUAAAGCAGCAUCGAUUUCCCCAAAGCAAAGCAUAACCUCUUGCAAACUACUGGGGGGGGGGGAAAUCAGAUCCUCCCCUUUCUCAUUGGCUACAAUCAAAACCACCAAGCUGUUCCCUUCAGCCCUCUUCCAAGUACAGUGGUACCUCGGGUUACAGACACUUCAGGUUACAGACUCCGCUAACCCAGAAAUAGUACCUCGGGUUAAGAACUUUGCUUCAGGAUGAGGACAGAAAUCGUGCGGCGGCAGCGGGAAGCCCCAUUAGCUAAAGUGGUACCUCAGGUUAAGAACAGUUUCAGGUUAAGAACGGACCUCCAGAACGAAUUAAGUUCUUAACCCAAGGUACUACUGCAGAUGAAAUGUCCAACAGCUAAUAGCCACCAGAACUCAGAUGUCAUCAUUGCUCAUUAAUCUAAAAUAUCCAGCUUUAUGAGCAAAAGUGUACUUUAAGAGAAGAUCAUUUUGUGUUUGCAUAAGCAUUUAUUUCUGGAAUUCUGCUUGGAAAUGCCCCAGGCAUCAGAAGGGCUUAUGCUUUAUGCUAUAUGAUAUGGGUCAGGUGUAACAGAUCCAAACAUGAAGUCUCUUAAUUGGGGCAAAGGGGGAAUAAUAUUAGUGUGCGGACAAAUAAGAAGCAGAGUAGUUUCCAUAGGGCUGGAGCAGAAUUGGGUAUAACUGUUUGAAAGAGGAAGUGAAGAGCAAUCAUAAAUUCCUGCAUACCUUAACCAGCUCAUGCAUUACCUGCAAUUUAGGGGAAGGGGCUUAAAUUUGUCAAGUGAACCAUUUUUAGGUGUAUUUAGUCCAAUCUGAAAUUAAUCCACUGGAUGGAAGGAAUAUAUAUAAAGUUGCUUCCAUUGAUGGCUGAGAAAUCAAAUUAAUAUUUGGUUUCUGAUCAUUUUACUACCAUUGUCAUUUACAUUUUGUUGCACUACCGCUACUCAUGCAAUUAUUUAGCAUUUAAUUGGUGGUGAGUACAGAAAUUGAUUCAUUUAAGAUUUCGGCUCUGUUGCAUGCAGUGGAGUUGAGGGUAAUAACAAAUUAUAAAACAGAACCUGUAAAUAAGUCCGGGGCAGCAGCUAACCUGUGGACAGAAGAUGCUGUUAUAUUCCAAGCUCCAUAUGCCCCAAACCAACAUGGCCAAUGACCAAGGAUGAUAGGAGUUGUGGUCUAACAGCAUCUGAAGUGACACCUGUUAGCAUUGAUGCAGUGCAGGGCUACUUAAGUAUUGCUAUUAUUAGAGAAGAGUUCUGCUUCUGCUACCGAGUCCUUUUCCAUUGAAUUAGGUAAAGGUAAAGGUACCCCUGACCGUUGGUCCAGUUGCGGAUGACUCUGGGGUUGCACGCUCAUCUCGCUCUAUAGGACAAGGGGGCCGGCGUUUGUCCUCAGACAGCUUCUGGGUCAUAUGGCCAACAUGACUAAGCCGCUUCUGGCAAACCAGAGCAGCCCACGGAAACGCCGUUUACCUUCCCGCCAGAGCGGUACCUAUUUAUCUACUUGCACUUUGAUGUGCUUUCAAACUGCUAGGUGGGCAGGAGCAGGGACCGAGCAAUGGGAGCUCACCCCAUCGCAGGGAUUCGAACCGCCGACCUGAUCGGCAAGCCCUAGGCUUUGUGGUUUAGACCACAGGGCCACCGCAUCCCUCCACUGAAUUAAUGAACCAUUAUUUCCUAACAAAUAAAAAUGGUGGUGGGGGGACCAAGUCAAACACAUUGCAUGGACAACAGCGCAGCAGGGUUGCAGCAGUGUCUGAUGCACAGCUCACCUUGGGACAAAAAUGGAGGUGACAUAGGUGCAUACAGGCAUGCGAGGGGAGAGCGACCGCAGCUGCACCAAGCUGACACCAGGAGCCACCUAGUGGCCAGAGGUCGUAAUGUCUGUGAAGCAUGCUGUGAUGAUUCUGUAAGCUGGCAAAUACUGUACAGUGGUACCUUGGGUUAAUAACUUAAUUCGUUCCGGAGGUCCGUUCUUAACCUGAAACUGUUCUUAACCUGAGGUACCACUUUAGCUAAUGGGGCCUCCCGCUGCCGCUGCACUGACGCAGCGCGAUUUCUGUUCUCAUCCUGAAGCAAAGUUCUUAACCUGAGGUACUAUUUCUGGGUUAGCGGAGUCUGUAACCUGAAGCAUCUGUAACCCGAGGUACCACUGUAAAUGUAAAAGCCAUGUAAUGUAAUGUAAAUGUAAAAUUGCAAAUGUCCUGUGAACAAAUAAUUACUGUAGAAUAGAGUUCCUUGCUGUCUCAUUGUGGCAAAUUCCAAAGGACUUUCACAGCAAAGCACAAAAGGCAUCCUAAAGCCCAACAGAUUCAUCAUGGCGUAAGCUUUUCUGGGCUGCGCAUUCCAUGAGACCUUAGGCUCACAGAAUAGUAGAGCUGGAAAGGACCACGAGGGUCAUCUAAUCCAACCCCUUGCAAUACAGGAAUCUUUUGCACAAUGCGGGACUCGAACCCACGAACCUGAGAUUAAGAGUCUUACACUCUACCAACUGUGCUGUCCCGCCUUAUGCCACAAAAAGAUAAGGUCUGACUUUAAGGUGCUCCAAGAUUCCUUUUUGUCUCCAGGGUUGUGUAUGUGACAACGCUAGGGAGGCGGGGAGAAGGCUGGGGAUGGGACUUCAAUAGUGUCACCUAAUGUACUACAACAAACAAACAAACAAAAAAGGUACAGGACCCCUGACAGUUAAGUCCUGUCACUAAUGACCCUGGGGUUGCGAUGCUCAUCUCACUUUACAGGCCAAGGGAGCCGGCGUUUGUCUGCAGAGUUUUUCCAGGUCACGUGGCCAGGAUGACUAAACCGCUUCUGGUGAAACCAGAGCAGUGCACGGAAAGUCCGUCUACCUUCCCGCUGGAGCGGUACCUAUUCAUCUACUUGCACUUUGACAAACCUAGGUUGAAGUAAAUGGGUGAGGGAAGGCAGAAGACCCAACCAGGUUUGAGGUAAGAAAAGGUUAAGAUUUAAAAAGGCUUCUUUGUUAUAGAUUUAACCCAAGGAAUGCUGGGAGCUGUAGCUGUAGGAGAGAGCUGGGGGUUUCACAUAGACUUUUCAGCCUUCAUACAUGGGUGAACACAGGAAUUUCCCCUCUGGGGCAGUGAGUAAAGUUAGUUUUUCAAAUAACUGGACAAAGAAGUAUAAACUGCACUGGAAAACUGGUCAACUGUUUCUGGUAGAUUUGGUGACUGAGCAGUGGCAAGACCUUGGUGGCCUUACCUUUCAGAAGCUACCUGCUCCAUUGUUUCUCAACUGGUAAGGCCUUCUGUUCAAUCUGUGCAUAGAGCUGGCAUCUAGAUGCUGGCCUUCCACCCACAAAUGAAGCCCUCCGUUCUUUUCUUGGCUAUCUCUAGCUUUUAAUGAAUUGCACUGCUGCUGCCAUCAACUUCACAGCUCCCUUACCAUUUUAAUAUGCGCAUGAGGCAUAGACAACACUGCAAUACAGUCUUGGGUUUGUUCUAGGUUACUCUGUAGGGUGGGCAUAACCCAUGCUCUCUCAGCUCUUUCCAUAUGAACCUACCUGGACCCUGAGAUCAUCUUCUGAGGCCCUCCUUUGUGUGUCCCCUCCUCAAGAGGUUUGGAGGGUGGCAACACGAGAAUGGGGCCUUUUCUGCAGUGGCUCCUCGUCUGUGGAAGUUCGCUUGGCACCCUCAUUAUACACCUUUAGGCACCAGGCAAAAACAUUCCUUUUUAACCUGGACUUUGGUUAAUCUGAUUUACAUCCUUGGCCUUUUAAAAUGUGUGUUUUUUAUGGGGGGGUAUUGAGUUGCUGUUUUUAUUUUUAUUAGGUAUUUUGUGGUUUUGCUUUUAUUCUGUGAAGCGCCCUGAGACCCCCAGGUAUAGGGUGAUAUAUAAAUUCAGUACAUUAUCAUCAUCAUCAUCCAGUCCUGUUCUUUGCAAUAUAGGUGUAAGAGUUAUCUGCAUUGGCAAUGACUGUGGUUUUUUUUUAAUGUUUACCAGCUGAGAGGUGGGAGGACUUUUUGGGGGGGUAGUGGUGAAGAAAUAAGACAUGUGUUAAAAAUAUUAUGUAUCACCAUCUUCAUUGCUACCUUUUGUUUUUGGGUACCUUUUGUCCAGUACACAGCUAUACUAAAUCCUGGCUACCUGAAUUGUUUUCUGCUGGGCAGCUAUUAUUACUCCACCAAGGAAGACAAGAAAGGAAAAAAAGGACUAAAAAAAAAGAACCCAGAAGUUCCUUCUAAAGACAGUGGGUGUUUCAUUCUAGUUAUCUCUUCAUGUGUUUGGCUAGAUCUGCUUUCCUAAACGUCAGUCAUUGCUAUGUCUUCAUUUGUUGGUUGAAAACCCUGAAAGACAGGAAGAGGUAAGUUUCUCACAAAACAAAUCGGCAAAUGUGCCUGCGCGUUUUGUCUCAUAUCUUGUGUUCUACAAGUUGUAAAAUCUUCCUGCUUGCACUAGUAGCUCUCCUGGCAAACACCCUUGGUACCACAAGAUGUCAGUUCCCAACAUUUCUUUGGAGGGGAAGCCAUUACAGUUAAACUGGAAUUGUAGCUACACUUCAGGGUGGUUUGUGGGCCUUCAUGCCCUGAGAUAGAAGGGAAGACGAAUCUGACAAUGGUUUGGAAUCUUUUAACAUUAACGGAAUCUUCAGAACAGGUGGGCAGAGGCAGUUCUGCCACCCUCAAACAUAGCAAAAUUUUACAUUUCUUGUUGUCACCUGCUCCUAAACCCCAAAUAGUGUGUGAAAGAGGAUAAGAUUCUUGGAAGUGUGAGGUCAACCAGAUGUACGCUUGACCCUUGCCCUUCCUGGCUUAUUAAGUAGUCAGAGUAUCAUGUGUCAAGUGCAUUGUAGUCAGAAAGUCUGUCUGGAUGGGUGAGGAUAGUGGUCAGUGAAUGCGUCAGUGGGACCUGAUAAAACAAGUGCCGUGGGUCCAAGCAAGAAUUCCCCAAAGCUACCUUCUGUAUGUGCCCUGAAAAUGGAAGCAAAACUAUCACAUCACCAUGCCCCUAAGUCACAGUGGAGUUAAAGCUGGGUUUGAAACUGAUUGUAUUUCUCUCUCUCUCUCUCUCUCUCUCUCUCUCUCUCUCUCUCUGUGCGUGUGUGUAGUCCACAUGACAUCCUCCUCAUCUAAGUGGCAGCCCACACUUUCCCCAGCCUAAAUUCAGAUUUUACCAAUCAGUGCAUAUGGGAAGAAACUCCAAUAUAAAAUUGCAUGUUGCUGUGGACGUACCAGAAACCCAAUGUGUGGGUGGUGGUGGUUUCUUUAAUUGUGUGAGGACAUUUCACUGGGUUUUGUCCAUCACCAGACCACCUGCUUCCAUUUUGUUCCCACCAGCACAAAGGAAAAGAUAAAGCCUGAUUUUUCUUGCUGGUUCUUGACUAUACAGGCAAACCCCCCCCCCAUUUGCACAAUUUCAAUAUGCAUGUGACUCUGCGCACGUGCAUCGUGCUGAACCCAGAAGUGACCCAAAAAUGGGGCAGAGGUGGAACAGAGUGUUUGCAGGCUUUUUCAAUAGCGUUUCAAAUAUAUGUGAUUUCACUGAUUCAUGUGGUGCCUUGGAAUGUAACCCCCACGUAAAUGGGGGGUCGCAUAUAUGUGUGUGUUUAAUUUUAAUAAAAUUAUUGUCCCCCCCC